Molecule: long non-coding RNA, 563 nt
Filed under: Mus spicilegus (steppe mouse)
Lineage: Eukaryota; Metazoa; Chordata; Mammalia; Rodentia; Muridae
Description: lncRNA (ENSMSIG00000028830.1)
Source: RNAcentral
GGACCACCACCUUGACACAUAGCUAGGGUUGUCUUCACACAAAAGGGUUCAGUGUGGAAGGCAGGGUGGUGGGAGGAGGGAGGGGUAGGCCAGGCCCGAGCCCACCUCCAUCCCUCUACAGUAGAGGUCUGGCCACAGUCAGGGACAUAUCCACCUACUUGCAUGGAAGAUGGAAGAGAGGCUCUUGCUUACUACUGACCGCUGAGUUCCUCUACAUGCAUUGCCAGAAAUGUCCAGCAGAGGGCGCCUGGCCCUGUGGAUCUUUUUAGAAGACAGCCGCCCCGGUGCCAGCCUGAGAGAGUCCUCAUUCCAGGCAUAGGAUCUUUGUGCUGAAAAAUUUCCCUUGUGGCUGCCUACAAGCACCGGCAGCCGAGGCCGAAGCUGGCAGGCACAGACACAGCCACGGCCUCGUUGGCAGGCUCUGCCUGGCUUGCAGGUGCCGAGCUGAGGAAAUGGAAGCUGGAGAGUGAAUAACAGCUAGCACCUGUGCUGAGCACGCAGGCAUGCAUGUCGGAGGAGGAGGAUGCCACCCGUGGUGCCCGCUACAAACUAAGAUGCUGUUC